This 379-nucleotide ribosomal RNA is filed under the name uncultured bacterium. RNAcentral's name for it is "bacterial SSU rRNA". It matches the Rfam family "Bacterial small subunit ribosomal RNA", at positions 521 to 898 of the family's 1533-position model. The record is from RNAcentral.
UAAUACGUAGGUGGCAAGCGUUGUCCGGAUUUAUUGGGCGUAAAGCGCGCGCAGGCGGUCCUUUAAGUCUGAUGUGAAAUCUUGCGGCUCAACCGCAAGCGGUCAUUGGAAACUGGGGGACUUGAGUGCAGAAGAGGAAAGCGGAAUUCCACGUGUAGCGGUGAAAUGCGUAGAGAUGUGGAGGAACACCAGUGGCGAAGGCGGCUUUCUGGUCUGUAACUGACGCUGAGGCGCGAAAGCGUGGGGAGCAAACAGGAUUAGAUACCCUGGUAGUCCACGCCGUAAACGAUGAGUGCUAAGUGUUGGAGGGUUUCCGCCCUUCAGUGCUGCAGCUAACGCAUUAAGCACUCCGCCUGGGGAGUACGGUCGCAAGACUGAA